GGGAAACGGGCAAAGGGGCCAGCCUCAGGCCCCGUAUCAAACUUUUGGGGCA
Fukomys damarensis (Damara mole-rat) is the source of this 52-nucleotide non-coding RNA. The record is from Rfam. NCBI's taxonomy places the organism in Eukaryota, Metazoa, Chordata, Mammalia, Rodentia, Bathyergidae.